CAGCUGGGAUCUCUCACCAAGGGUUGAGGUGUGCUUGUUCCCUGGGCGGAGAUGGAGAGUGGGUCAGAUGCUACCAGCCGUCAGGGUGCGGCAUGAUGCACUUGUUCAGCCAAAGCUAGUGGUGGCCGUGACCUCAGGCAAAGGAAGAAGAGCAAAACCAACAGCCAGCAUCUGCUAAAAUCCUGGUGCCCGCUUCGUCCCCGCUCAGCACGCAGGAGCUGCAGGGAUUUGUGUGUAUUAUCCUUACAGGGGACCCUAGGCCACCAGGUCGGCUUCACGGAGGCUGCUGGGAAGUGCCUUGUCCCCAGCUAAGCUUCUUUCCCCGUUGGCACGUCGUAGGAGGAGGAUGAGAUUAGUGUUUUCUGCUGCACGAUGUCAGCUGAGGGAUGAGAACGGCGCACCGAGAGGAGGAGAGCUUCUGUGGGUGAAGACCAUCCCUUUCAAACGCGAAGCACAGCAAGUCCAAACCAGCACGUUUCCCCUUCUCCUUGGGGAUCAGGCUGCAGUAGUGAAGAGACAAAUGGAGCCAGUCCCCGGUGCUAAACUACAAAACCACAGGCUUCAGCAAAGCCCUUCAAGCCAGUCCGUCCCCCAGCAGUGUCGCUGCCCCUCGCUUUUGACUGAGGUCUGGAAAUAUCAGCAGGGGCUGGCCGUUGCCUGUAUCCCACGUGUUGCCACUGUCCUGCUGGGUGAUAUCAGGCAAGGACUGUCAGGGCUCAGCAUGGCAGAUAUAAUCUUCCAAGCCCAGCAUCCCCAUUCAGUCUGAGGACACCCAUGGCACCAUGGUGGGCUUAACUCCACCAUGGCACAGGCUCCAGCGAUCCCAAAAGGUAACUUGCAAAGAGUGCCUGGUCUGCUGCAGCAUUUGAGAAGCAGCAGGUUGCAUCAGCAAAGUGUUGGUAAUUUGUUAAAUUGCCUCAAUCUGUUUGAUAGCAAAACUUGCUGGCAUUUUCUGUGAGCUUUGCCUGUAGCUUUUGCAUCAGCCCAAGCUCAGCCCCAUACAGAUGCUCAGAGCUGACGUGUGCUAAAUUCUUACGUUGACCCUAAUAUGAGAUGUCAUUGUAAUUCUCCUAGCAGGCAUGGAUUGGCAGGUGAAAAAGCAAGUGCAUGGGCCUUUUUCAUUUACAGCAUGUUUCAUCCUGGGAUGAAAUUUAGCUCAUCAGUUGAAGCAUUGUGACUAAAAAGAGUUGCAAAGAAUGUGAGUACAUACCUGAGUGUGUUAGGUUAAAUAUUGCUGUGUUAGAUAAUCUUUGAACAGAAGUAGCCUCAUGCUUUCCUCAAGGUGUUAUUCAUGCUCUGCAGAAGGACAAUAUAAGGUUUUACAACACUGAAGUUCCAUGUACAGAGCAGGUGACUUGUCUUCUCUAAUGGCUACGUAGUUGUGGCUGCAGCGUUUGCCAAGAUCUUCUUGAUGGAAGUCUGGAUUCCUGCAUGGAUUUUUUACCAAGGGUUCCUGGAGAGUGUGGAGCCAGCAGGAAUGAGGAGAGGGACAGUCUGUUCUGUUGCUGGACUCUCUUUGCUGCAUUAAAGAAACCAGAAUGCAAAGAGUCAGAGCUGCUGGUGUGAGCUUCUGGUGUACAGCUUUCAGAUAAGCCAAGCUCUAGUGUGCUCCAGCACCAAGUUCCUUAUGAAAGAAGUUUCUGUUAAUACAUUUCAAGGGAAGGAAAUCAGCCCUGUGGUCAACAGGGUGGCACAAGGAGCUCUGAACUCUUGCUAGCUCUAGGUAAAGGUAGAGAUGCUCCAGAAGGAGGAACUGGACAAAGGGCUUCUUGAAGGCAUCUCCUUCCUUAUCCUUCCACUGCUCCCCAUUUCCUUGCAACCUCCAAUCCUGCACAACAUGUUGGAUUGUAGCCAUUGGGACUGCACAGAUGAAUCUGGUGGGUUGGUCUUUUGUUGCCCAUAUGUAUGGGGAGAGAUAGGAGUUGUCUUCUUGAUGAAGAAGACACCACCUGCUUCUUCUUGGCCUGAAGGGCCUUCUGUUGGAAGUGAAGGGCCAGGGCUCACGCAGCAGCUUACAUUUCAACAGUGAUUUCUCCUGCUGUUGAAAUUGUGUUGUCUGUCUUAAUCGUGCAAGGCUUAUUUUCCCACACUGCAAAAUGAGUUCAGCACCGCUGGUAAGGCUGGGGGCUGGGAUGUUUUAAUUACUGUUUUUGCAGUGCUUUGGGGCUCUGGAGAGAAUGGUGCUGGAGCCCUGGGAAGGGUUUGUAUUACGUUUUGGCAGAUAGCAUUCUGUACGUGAGCUCUGUGGUCCUGUCAACAGCUCCUUCCUGACCCUUGGGCUUCCUAAUGCAAGCAUUGUGCCCACCCCACCCCUAGAGCCACUUGCCACUGCUGACCAUCACUGCAUAGUAACAGGGGACCUGCUUACGUCCAGUGUCCACCUCCAGACCAAAUAAACACAUAUUGCAUGCCUGGAAAUUCCCA
This is a long non-coding RNA of Anser brachyrhynchus (Pink-footed goose), 2424 nucleotides long. Lineage: Eukaryota; Metazoa; Chordata; Aves; Anseriformes; Anatidae. The record is from Ensembl.